UGUAGCAUGCACAGGAUGCAGGGAGGGAGAAGCUGGCAGGUUGUGAAUUCUCCCUCAAAGACAAAACCUUUGGCCUCCUCUCUAGCAACAGCGGCAACCGUGAUCCUUACCCUGCUUUGCAAAGAUCUGAAGAAGCCCAAAAUCAUAAAGCCACAUGAAGUGAUUUGGGAGAAGCCAGCCACUUUCAGAUGUACAGCAGCAGAAAUGUGCCCAGGGACUAAGCCCCAAAUCACCUGGCCUACACAACAUAUCCAUGGAAUACUCAACAGAGCAAUUGGAGCUCGACCUAUGGAGUUGACAUCACCUUCAAGCCCAGCUUAGCUGAUGAUGGCAUAGUCCUUACCUGCAGCAUCAAAUACCAUUUCUUGAAGAAAGCAGUCCACGUAGCCACCCGCCUUUCCUUUGGCUAUAGGCCUACAGCCAGCACCAUCCUGCCUAAUGCUACAUGUGAGAAUGAGGACCGAGGCCACCGUUACACCUGUUCUUUCCACUGCUGGCCUCCACCAACACUUACGUGGGAAGUGGACGGGGUAACCGUCACUGGGAACAGAGGAACGGAAACACAAGUGACAUGGAGGUCUUACAGUGGGCUGAGGGCAAUGCGGCGAGCAGCACCCUGCUGUGGAAAGGAGCCUCCAUUGACCACCAUGACCCCUUCAUCACCUGCACGGCAACCAACCCCUUUGGGAAGCAGACAAUGGUGAUCCUACCUGGGUCCAAUGGAACAAGCAUCUCCUGCCCCAGACUUCACCUUUAAGUCCUGUGCAUGCUAACAUUUACAAAUCUCCAAGACAGGCAGACUUGGGUGGGCAGCCCUAGGCACACUUUUACUGGUAAUAGGCACCACUGAACAUAGCAGGACUUCCUUCCAAGGAAACAUGCAUCCCAUUGUGCUGUUUGGCUUCAUCCAAGGCAAGGAUGGGGUUCUUUUCUCAGCCCAGGGGCCACAUUGCCUCAAUGCA
Molecule: non-coding RNA, 962 nt
Organism: Podarcis muralis (Common wall lizard)
Lineage: Eukaryota; Metazoa; Chordata; Lepidosauria; Squamata; Lacertidae
Source: RefSeq, a predicted model, not a curated record